RNAcentral lists this ribosomal RNA (433 nucleotides) under uncultured bacterium. RNAcentral describes it as "partial 16S ribosomal RNA". It matches the Rfam family "Bacterial small subunit ribosomal RNA", at positions 29 to 507 of the family's 1533-position model. The record is from RNAcentral.
AACGAACGCUGGCGGCAUGCCUAACACAUGCAAGUCGAACGAGACCUUCGGGUCUAGUGGCGCACGGGUGCGUAACGCGUGGGAACCUGCCUUUAGGUUCGGAAUAACUCAGAGAAAUUUGAGCUAAUACCGGAUGAUGUCCUCGGACCAAAGAUUUAUCGCCUUUAGAUGGGCCCGCGUUGGAUUAGCUAGUUGGUGGGGUAAAGGCCUACCAAGGCGACGAUCCAUAGCUGGUCUGAGAGGAUGAUCAGCCACACUGGGACUGAGACACGGCCCAGACUCCUACGGGAGGCAGCAGUGGGGAAUAUUGGACAAUGGGCGAAAGGCUGAUCCAGCAAUGCCGCGUGAGUGAUGAAGGCCUUAGGGUUGUAAAGCUCUUUUACCCGAGAUGAUAAUGACAGUAUCGGGAGAAUAAGCUCCGGCUAACUCCGUG